Molecule: long non-coding RNA, 301 nt
Filed under: Spirodela polyrhiza (greater duckweed)
Lineage: Eukaryota; Viridiplantae; Streptophyta; Magnoliopsida; Alismatales; Araceae
Description: long non-coding RNA (SPOL_LNC000771)
Source: RNAcentral
GAGCAUAUUCAUCCUCUCUGUCAGGCUGCAACCAACAGAAGAAGGGCAUUGGCACAGAUGGCCGACUACGGACGAAAAUGGUAAGCUAAGCAUGCAAUUAUGAACCUUACUUUGUGAUCAGCUGAUAAAGGCAACGUUUGCUUGCCGCGACAGAGCACUGCCCUCGAAUCUCCACAGUUUGCAACGAUAAUGUGAGAGGAACAAAUAACGGCCACAACAGAGGUUGAUCCCACUGUUUCUGGGGCAACGGGUUCUGCACAGCAAUCGUUGCCACUGCCGGCGGAUCCAUGGGCCAUCCCUC